Molecule: ribosomal RNA, 825 nt
Filed under: uncultured bacterium
Lineage: Bacteria
Description: bacterial SSU rRNA
Rfam family: Bacterial small subunit ribosomal RNA
Source: RNAcentral
AACGAACGCUGGCGGCAGGCUUAACACAUGCAAGUCGAGCGCUCGCGAGCAAUCGCGGGAGCGGCAGACGGGUGAGUAACGCGUGGGAACGUACCCUCCGGUUCGGAAUAACUCAGGGAAACUUGAGCUAAUGCCGGAUACGGCUGUGAGGCGAAAGAUUUAUCGCCGGGGGAUCGGCCCGCGUCCGAUUAGCUAGUUGGUGGGGUAACGGCUCACCAAGGCGACGAUCGGUAGCUGGUCUGAGAGGAUGAUCAGCCACAUUGGGACUGAGACACGGCCCAAACUCCUACGGGAGGCAGCAGUGGGGAAUAUUGGACAAUGGGCGCAAGCCUGAUCCAGCCAUGCCGCGUGAGUGAUGACGGCCUUAGGGUUGUAAAGCUCUUUCGCCAGGGACGAUAAUGACGGUACCUGGAUAAGAAGCCCCGGCUAACUUCGUGCCAGCAGCCGCGGUAAUACGAAGGGGGCUAGCGUUGUUCGGAAUUACUGGGCGUAAAGCGCGUGUAGGCGGGUCUUUAAGUCAGGGGUGAAAUGCCAAGGCUCAACCUUGGAACUGCCUUUGAUACUGGGGAUCUUGAGUCCGGGAGAGGUGAGUGGAACUGCGAGUGUAGAGGUGAAAUUCGUAGAUAUUCGCAAGAACACCAGUGGCGAAGGCGGCUCACUGGCCCGGAACUGACGCUGAGACGCGAAAGCGUGGGGAGCAAACAGGAUUAGAUACCCUGGUAGUCCACGCCGUAAACGAUGGAUGCUAGCCGUCAGACAGCUUGCUGUUUAGUGGCGCAGUUAACGCUUUAAGCAUCCCGCCUGGGGAGUACGGUCGCAAGAUUA